RNAcentral lists this transfer RNA (65 nucleotides) under Megacopta distanti. RNAcentral's name for it is "tRNA-Asp". The record is from RNAcentral. Lineage: Eukaryota; Metazoa; Arthropoda; Insecta; Hemiptera; Plataspidae.
AAGAAAUUAGUUUUAAAUUAAAACAUUAACUUGUCAAGUUAAAAAUAUUAUAUUAAUAUUUCUUA